CGUAUCUGUAGCAAAGAUAUUCCGUCCAGCGGAAAAUGGCGUUGUGAUGCGGAAUGAAAACUUAGGGAGAACACAUGUGAUGGCUUUACAGUCAAGGUAACGUUUAAUAGUUGUCAUUGGUGUGAGUGUGGUGCAUAAUCUCUUUGCAGGGCAUGGUCUGUAUGUUAGAAGAGAGAAAUGCAAUAUGCACUGUACGAGAUGUGACAACUUUAGCUUCUCAGGGUUCGCAGCACAAGAUCACUCUUUUACUUCCGGCCUCAACUACAGUACAAGAACUUUUCCAAAAAUUAGCAGAUGCAUACCAGUAUGAUCCGAAUACAUUUGAACUUGUCCUUCAACGCUCAUCUGAACCUGUA
Molecule: long non-coding RNA, 356 nt
Organism: Schistocerca serialis cubense
Lineage: Eukaryota; Metazoa; Arthropoda; Insecta; Orthoptera; Acrididae
Exons: 3
Source: RefSeq, a predicted model, not a curated record